GUUAGACUAGAGACCUUCUUGAGGUCUCUUCCAGCUGAUGUUGAUCUCUGACAUGAUCCUACUGAGGAGUUUGAACCCUGACUCUGGUUCUGAAUUCAUCAUCCACUCAGGUUUUCAGGAAUAGUCUGGAAGAGUCUUGCUGAAUCCCACAACUGUUAAAGCUGGCGUCACCACCACUGAAACAAGUUUAUGCUCACCUGGACAUUGAGUUUAUACUCAGUAACCUCAAAGAUGAUGACAGAGCAAUACGGAAAUAGCAAAGCGUGGACAGUGAACUCGGUUCUUGCUGUAAGACAAACCUGGAUGGGUCUGGUAUCGGACAGUUCAUUUUGCUGAAAGACACAUUGGGCUGCCUGCUCUGUUCCUGGAGGGGCUGGUUGCAACUGCAUGAGGCAAUAAAUCAGUUGCUGCUCCUCCAGGAAAGAAACCCCUUGGCUCUCAGCUCAGCCCCUGCUGGCAAAAAAGUGUGGAGGUCAGGAGCCAGGCUUCUGCCCAGCUGUGCCAAGUCCAGGACACCAGCCUGUAAAUCACCUGGGUUCAGCCCCUGAUGUCAGUGCUCUACAGAAGGAGAAAGGCCACUAAACCUCUGGUUUACAGAAGUUUUUGUGCAUGGGGACAGAAGGCAUGGUGUGUCAGUCUGGCUUUGUAAUAAAUGGGAUGGAUGUUGGUGCCCUGGCAGUACUGUUUGCGCACACUUUAGGGCUGAGGCAUGUCUUCAUUACCUAUGCAGGGAUUUGUAUUAGGAAGCCAGUGUGGUUUUAGUAUCUUACCCUGCUGAUCUGAGACCUCGCUUGGGUGAUAUGUGCAAUUGGCAGUGGUUGGAUCCAGAUCCUGAUGUUGUGGUGUUGGCUGGAGAGG
Molecule: long non-coding RNA, 858 nt
Organism: Cygnus olor (mute swan)
Lineage: Eukaryota; Metazoa; Chordata; Aves; Anseriformes; Anatidae
Exons: 3
Source: RefSeq, a predicted model, not a curated record